Molecule: ribosomal RNA, 253 nt
Filed under: uncultured bacterium
Lineage: Bacteria
Description: partial 16S ribosomal RNA
Rfam family: Bacterial small subunit ribosomal RNA
Source: RNAcentral
UACGGAGGGUGCAAGCGUUAUCCGGAUUUACUGGGUUUAAAGGGUGCGUAGGUGGGCAAUUAAGUCAGCGGUGAAAUCUCCGGGCUUAACCCGGAAAUUGCCAUUGAUACUAUUUGUCUUGAAUUAUCUGGAGGUGAGCGGAAUAUGUCAUGUAGCGGUGAAAUGCUUAGAUAUGACAUAGAACACCGAUUGCGAAGGCAGCUUGCUAAACGAUCAUUGACACUGAGGCACGAAAGCGUGGGGAUCAAACAGG